RNAcentral lists this long non-coding RNA (1636 nucleotides) under Oryzias javanicus (javanese ricefish). RNAcentral's name for it is "lncRNA (ENSOJAG00000018156.1)". The record is from RNAcentral. Lineage: Eukaryota; Metazoa; Chordata; Actinopteri; Beloniformes; Adrianichthyidae.
GAGGAUGUUUGGCCUUUGGUCGGAGGGAAAUUACAGAUGGAAACCUCAUUUCCUCCCAUCGGUCUGGAUUCUUCUGCUGGCAGCCGCGCCGCGCUCAGCGCUCGGAUCUUUCCUGGCAGACACCAAAGCCGUUCUGAUUGGCUGCGAGGACCAGUGGACGCUGCAGAGCGCCGUGGUCGUGCCCCGCCUCUUCCAGAUGACGGUGUGCGUGGACGUGCACGUGGUCGUCCCUGGAGCCUGGGCGGGCUUCCUGUACACCUCGGUGCGCGGUCCCAAUCCUGACCUGGGCCUGGAGGGAGACGCCACGGCGAUUUACGGGUGGUUGCUUCAAGUCCGCCACCGAUUCCCGCUGCAGCUGACGCCGCUGCAGUGGCACCGAGUGUGUCUGAGGCGGGACGCCGAGGGCAACUCCUUCAUUCUGGAGGUGGACGGGCGGACGGUGGCGGAGAGGACGGUGAUCGCCCAGGCCAUCCCUCCGUCCGGCACCCUGUGGCUGGGCUGCCAUCCCAGACUGCAGCCCCCGGGGGCUCAGCCGGGGAGGGUGGAGCUGUACCUGUUCCGCAUGUGGGCGGACCUGAACGACCACGGUCUGUGCGAGGACGGCUCCGUGAUUGGCUGGGACUCUCGGUUCUGGAGCGUGACCGGUCCCAAGGCCAAAGCGAAGGACCCGUACCUGCUGUGUGGACUCACGACUGGUCCGGGAAUGUCUCGGGAAUAUUCUCCAGACCCUGAUUUCACACCCAACCCCCCCAACCUGUCGUCUACAGUCAGGCUGACCACGCCCCCCAUCACCACUGCAGCCAAUCAUCCCAGCAGCAGUGCGGCUGCAGAGCCUGCGCAGUCAGGUGAAGGAUCACCUGUGCUGAAGUGUGACACGCGGCAGCUCUGCUCCAAUCACAGUAAGCAUGACUCUUUUCUGUCCAAUCAGAGCCUCUGUACAGGUGUGCCAGCUGCUCUCAGCCGUCUUCUCUUCACAGGUUCUCAUUUCUGGGUGUCAGUGACUGCUGAGGACCACUUUGAUGACGACCUGCAGGAUCAGGUUUCCAAAGCUUUUUCAUGUGAGAACGCCAACGCCACACCGUCACAGAGUUUCACAGAGUUCUGUCGGAGCGGCGGGAACGUUCAGGUCGUGGACGCGUCCUGCUCCAACACCACCGUCAGCACAACAACCUGCGGCGUGCUGCUGCUGCUGCUCAAAGGCACUGUGUCAGCAUGCGACCUGCAGCUCAUUGGGGAAUCUGCCCUGCAGCCGUCUGCCCCGCAGCCGUCUGCCCCGCAGCCGUCUGCGGGACGGAUGAGGCCAACCAUCAGGGUUCAGGUGGAGCGAGUGGGUCAGAACCUCUGUGAGGGUUUGUCUCCAUCUGAAGGCAGCUUCGUGAGAUGCUCGUCCACGUCUUCUCUGGAAGACAUCUGCCGCUCCAACGCUCACUCCAACAUUUCAUGCUCCAUCUUGGAGUCGGACUCUCCGCCCGUCUCUGAGCCCGGGUCGUCCUCCUGCACUGAGCCGGCGCCGACCUUCUGUGACUGCUCUGCGUCCUGCACUUCUACAAGUCAGUUUUAUGCCAUGAAACUCAACAUUAGAAACAACAGUUUCAAUGUUAAUACCCUCAAAAACAUGUUCUUACCGCCUCCACUG